RNAcentral lists this small RNA (897 nucleotides) under uncultured fungus. Its description in RNAcentral is "eukaryotic LSU rRNA". The stretch from base 464 to 897 matches the Rfam family "Eukaryotic large subunit ribosomal RNA", at positions 1 to 429 of the family's 3401-position model. Lineage: Eukaryota; Fungi. The record is from RNAcentral.
UCCGUAGGUGAACCUGCGGAAGGAUCAUUAAUAGUGCCCUCUGAUGCAAAUCAUUGGGUUAGAUCUGCUCUCUUCGCAAGAAGAGGGUUUCCAUACACACCGUGAACUGUGGCUUCGGCCAUCACAAACUGUUAGUAAUGAAUGUAAUAUCAUAACAAAAACAAAACUUUUAACAACGGAUCUCUUGGCUCUCGCAUCGAUGAAGAACGCAGCGAAAUGCGAUAAGUAAUGUGAAUUGCAGAAUUCAGUGAAUCAUCGAAUCUUUGAACGCACCUUGCGCCCUUUGGUAUUCCGAAGGGCAUGCCUGUUUGAGUGUCAUGAAACCUCACCCCACUUGGGUUUUUGCCUGAGCGGUGGUGUAUUGGGUGUUGCCUUGCUAAAGGCUCGCCUUAAAGACAUAAGCACCUUGGAUGUAAUACGUUUCAUCCUUCUGGGUGGCUGAUAGCCCCACAUAUUCAUGAUCUGGCCUCAAAUCAGGUAGGGCUACCCGCUGAACUUAAGCAUAUCAAUAAGCGGAGGAAAAGAAACUAACUAGGAUUCCCUUAGUAACGGCGAGUGAACCGGGAUGAGCUCAAAUUUAAAAUCUGGCGUCUUUCAGGCGUCCGAGUUGUAAUCUAUAGAGGCGUUUUCCGCGCCGGACCGCGUCCAAGUCUCUUGGAAUAGAGUAUCAAAGAGGGUGACAAUCCCGUACUUGACGCGACAACCGGUGCUCUGUGAUACGUUCUCAAUGAGUCGAGUUGUUUGGGAAUGCAGCUCUAAAUGGGUGGUAAAUUCCAUCUAAGGCUAAAUAUUGGCGAGAGACCGAUAGCGAACAAGUACCGUGAGGGAAAGAUGAAAAGCACUUUGGAAAGAGAGUUAAACAGCACGUGAAAUUGUUAAAAGGGAAACGCUUGAAGU